This 320-nucleotide small nuclear RNA is filed under the name Mustela putorius furo (domestic ferret). Its description in RNAcentral is "7SK RNA (ENSMPUG00000023709.1)". It matches the Rfam family "7SK RNA". Rfam says of the family: 7SK was discovered as an abundant small nuclear RNA in the mid-70s but a possible function has only recently been suggested. Two independent studies have found that 7SK RNA binds the CDK9/cyclin T complex (known as elongation factor P-TEFb). Lineage: Eukaryota; Metazoa; Chordata; Mammalia; Carnivora; Mustelidae. The record is from Rfam by way of RNAcentral.
GGAUGUGAGGGAUAUCUGGCUGCAACAUCUGUCACCCCAUCAGUUGCCAGGGUUCAUUUGACUGAUCUGGCUUGGCUGGGCAGGGAUCCCUGUCCCCCCUCACCACUCUAGUUAUAUCCCUCCCAAAGCUGAGUUCUGGGUGGAAGAGACAACCUUUCCCAAUAGAGGUGGAUAGUUUUUUUGGUCGAGGGUAUACCAGUAGCUGAGCCUCCCCAAACAAGCUUUCAAGGUCCAUUAGUAGGAGAAUGUAGAGUAGUCAAGCUUUCAAGACUCCAGAUACAUCCAAAUAAGGUACUGCAUGUGGCAGUCUGCCUUUCUUA